RNAcentral lists this ribosomal RNA (468 nucleotides) under uncultured bacterium. Its description in RNAcentral is "bacterial SSU rRNA". It matches the Rfam family "Bacterial small subunit ribosomal RNA", at positions 328 to 795 of the family's 1533-position model. The record is from RNAcentral.
GGCCCAGACUCCUACGGGAGGCAGCAGUGAGGAAUAUUGGUCAAUGGGCGGAAGCCUGAACCAGCCAAGUCGCGUGAGGGAAUAAGGCCCUACGGGUCGUAAACCUCUUUUGCCGGGGAGCAAGGGCGGGGACGUGUCCCGGCCCGGAGAGUACCCGGAGAAAAAGCAUCGGCUAACUCCGUGCCAGCAGCCGCGGUAAUACGGAGGAUGCGAGCGUUAUCCGGAUUUAUUGGGUUUAAAGGGUGCGUAGGCGGGCUUUUAAGUCAGCGGUAAAAAUGCGGGGCUCAACCCCGUCCGGCCGUUGAAACUGGGGGCCUUGAGUGGGCGAGAAGAAGGCGGAAUGCGUGGUGUAGCGGUGAAAUGCAUAGAUAUCACGCAGAACUCCGAUUGCGAAGGCAGCGUACCGGCGCCCAACUGACGCUCAUGCACGAAAGCGUGGGUAUCGAACAGGAUUAGAUACCCGUUGUC